RNAcentral lists this small RNA (202 nucleotides) under Marmota monax (woodchuck). Lineage: Eukaryota; Metazoa; Chordata; Mammalia; Rodentia; Sciuridae. The record is from RNAcentral.
GCUGGGCACGGUGGUGCCUGCCUGUAAUUCCAGGAACUUGGGAGGCUGAGGCAAGAGGAUGGCAAGUUUGAGGCCAGCCUCAGCAAAUUCGUGAGGCCCUUCUGGAUCCGCUUCAGUGCCAUCCUCUCCACUGCUUGGGACCAGGCGGCCCGGCGGGGCUGCCUGAGGCGGCCCGCUGCCGGCUCGCCAGCCCCUACUUCUU